RNAcentral lists this ribosomal RNA (253 nucleotides) under uncultured bacterium. Its description in RNAcentral is "partial 16S ribosomal RNA". It matches the Rfam family "Bacterial small subunit ribosomal RNA", at positions 524 to 776 of the family's 1533-position model. The record is from RNAcentral.
UACAGAGGUCCCAAGCGUUGUUCGGAUUCACUGGGCGUAAAGGGUGUGUAGGUGGCGCCGUAAGUCGGGUGUGAAAUUUCGGAGCUUAACUCCGAAACUGCAUUCGAUACUGCGGUGCUUGAGGACUGGAGAGGAGACUGGAAUUUACGGUGUAGCAGUGAAAUGCGUAGAUAUCGUAAGGAAGACCAGUGGCGAAGGCGGGUCUCUGGACAGUUCCUGACACUGAGACACGAAGGCCAGGGGAGCAAACGGG